AUCUCUUCUCGCCUUUUGGCUCAGAUCAAAGUGCAGUAUCUGUUCUCUUAUCAUUUAAUAUCUAUAUCCCCCAUCAACUCAUAUCAGGGAUUUUUCGAACAGGAAGUCGGAAAUCUGGGGCUUACUCCGUCCCUCCACCUUUCACCACCGGUAUUACAGUACUGCCUCCGGAAAUGGUGCAACACUUU
This is a non-coding RNA of Salmo salar (Atlantic salmon), 188 nucleotides long. The record is from RefSeq and is a predicted model, not a curated record. NCBI's taxonomy places the organism in Eukaryota, Metazoa, Chordata, Actinopteri, Salmoniformes, Salmonidae.